GUGCCCGAGUCACAUUUCUUAUCACAUCCUUUUCAUUUCCCCCAGGGUUUGGCAUUUCCCCUUUUCUGAUUGGCUGCCUCCCCAGGGCCUGGGCCUCAGUGCUGGUGGCCCUCUGGGGGUCGGGAGCGCAUAAAUAGUUCCUGCUGGGGAAACUGGGAAACUGGUCUCAGACAAGAGGAACAGACAUCUCUGCCACGCACUGCUGCCUGGAGCUGCAUGAGGUCCCAGUGCUGCCAGCGUGUCUUCUGUGUAUAGCCCCAUGCACCUCUGCCUCAGCCACAGCCCUUCCCCGCAGCAGCUCCCGCGGCCUGGCCUGGUAGAGCUGCAGUCCCAGGCCUCCUUCUACUCCUUCCUGGUACGACUGCAUGAACCCCAGAGACCCAAGAAGCGAGUAGUGUUUGCAGACACGAAGGGGAUCUCGUUGACAUCCGUGUACAAGUUUGAAGAUGCUGUGGGCAGACACGUGUCCCAUGUUCAGUUUCCUGCGCCCUGAGCCACCUGGCUGGCCAGAGCCACCACCUACGCUCUGGGCUUCCCCGCACCCAGGCAGGGUUCGGGGGUUCCAGAGGCGCCUGCAGGUGCAGAGUGUGCGCCCGGAGCAGCGUGCUGGGCAGGGGGCUUCCUGCGAGGCGCUGUCUAGCAGGCAGGCUGGGUUCCAGAAGGCAAGGCAGAUGCGCAUCACCUUUGAUGUCAGGGCUCCUUCCAAGAAGUGCCUAGUGUUCACACGGCCAGUCCUUGCAGAAGCGAGACUGACAGCUUCGCCUUCCAAGCCAUGUUGCCACUAGGUCCCCCAGGCCGGUGGGCACCAUUCAGUUCUGCUUCUGUUGUUGGGGAAAACAAUCAAGGGCAAACCUGUUGUUUGGUGCCCAGUUCUCAGUCACGCUCAUCACAAUGUAAGUGAGCUCUGUGAGGGCCCACAGACAGGGUGAGCCGUCUGUGGUUACAUUUUCUGCAGAGGCGAAGCUUGAAUUCCUCACCCAGGAUGUGCUAUUCCUAUCGCUUCUGGAACUUUAUUCAGACUCUUCUUUCUCCUGAAUUCACAGUGGGGAGACAGGAGGGACACAACUCCCAGCCCCCAGAAAGCCUUGAAUGCUUUGCAUUCUUCUCUCACAAGGGGAGCCCACUUCCUGACCAAAGGGCUGAAAUUUCCUUUAGGGAGAUGCUGGGAAUGGCGCCCUUUACCCUUUGCAGAGGAGCCUUUGGAGUGUGGAAACAGAAGAAAUGUAAAUAAAGCUUUUAUGUGUCAUUAUUUAACAGGCCUGGCAGAGUGGCUGUAAGGACUGUGUGGAGUGGGGGAGGGCCGGGGAGGGUUCUUUGCAUUGAAAGCAGGAGGCACCCAGCACAGGAAGGAGCUCUUACACUUUCCUCUCCAGGUGGAAAGGGCCAGCUUUCUGGUAACUUGAAAUUGUACUGCUGCUUCAACUGUUGCCUAAAGAAAAGUUCAUUAAAGCAUCUUCAGUGGUUCACGUUGUAAACACUUGACCUUUCCCCCUCUUUAGCAGGUAAAAGUCUGGGGAAACUCUGUCUACCUCAAAACAGAUGCACUUAAAAAAAAACAAAAACAUUUUUAGCUGUUUUGUGCAUAAUUUACCAAGACCCAGAAACCUGACCUUUGUUCCUAGGCCCCUCCCUCCCCUGUUGUAUUUAUCACCCUAUAUGGAAACUGCUUAUUGAACUGUUUGCCACCCUCAGGGCCUGGAAAGGCUGGACCAGGACUGCCAUCCACCCUGCUGGCCCCCAGGCUGUCAGCCCUGGAAUGCUCAGGAGGUAAGGGUUGGAAUAAUAAGUGAAUGUUUGUGCCAGGUAGGCCCCUCGCUUCAACUUGCAAUGCUCUGAGAUCUUCAGUCUUCAGAAGAUUUUAGCCUCUUUUCGGAGAUUGCUCAUUCUCUCAGAUUACUGUUCGUGGAUGACAAAUUUUAAAUAUGUGUUUAAAAAGAAUGUUUCUCUCUUCUGAUUCCUUGACUUCUUGGGCUAUAUUUUUUUGUGCCGGUGGCAGGCUAUAUCAAUGCAAUCAUUGUGGCUGAGCAAGCAGCAUUCUCUUUUUCUCCCUAAAGGGCCUGCCCCAGCUGAUUCAAUCUGUAAAACAACCAGGUGGUUAACAGCGUAAAGCUAGAAGCAGCCAAACACACCGGCUUCCAGGGCCGCUCUGAACACAGCUGCAGCUUCCUCAUCUGAUAAGGAACGCUUUCAUAACUGCACCUGUUUCCUCCUGCUCCCUCUCCAGCCUUCUAGCCCUGCCUCCAUUAAGGGAUGAUCAGGAAUAGGUGAGUGGUACCCACAGGGUAUGCUGUCAGGAUUGGGGGUCGCUCUCCCAAAUUAAAGCUGGUACGAAUCAACAGAAAAACAUGAGUAGCCAGCUCUAAAGGUGAUUUACCUCUAGAAUGUGUUGUAGUAUAUUUCUAAUGAAACUAGGGUUUCUGAAAUCUCAUCAAUGAGCCUCUGAAAAAAUACAACUCAGGUCAGGUCCUACCACUGGGGAGGGGAAGUCGUGGAAGACCACGUGGGUCAGGUUUUACAGUUAUAGGGGGCCUGAAAUCUAAGACUUUUGAUAUUAUCUCUGAUGAAGUUACACUCCAAUGAAGUAUGACGGGGUUCGGAACAGUCCUCCCCAAGACGUGCCACUUUGGCAUGUGGAAUAUUUUGAGCUAAAAACAAACGAGACCCUGCGGGCUCAAGCGAAACUUUUACCUCUCCCUUAAAGAAUUUAAAUUGGGAGACUUGCCCAUAAUAAGAGUUAUUACCAGAAAUAACUUUUUAUGACCUAUCUGUAUGGCAGGGCAAACAUCUAAUUACCAAACAUCUGCUCUUCUUAUCAUCCUGUGAAUGACUCUCCUCCUCACUGAAGCCCCAGGCCCCCAUCCCAUUCCUUGGCUCAAGAUAGCAGAUACACCUCAUUUUACCUUUCUGUCUUCGAACCUCUCAUGUAUGUGGGGUUCCCAUAUGUACAAAAUUCAAUGUUUUUCUGUUAAUCUGUCUCAUGUCAACUUGAUUAUUAGACUAGCUGAAAGAACAUUUGAACAGUAGACAGAAAUUCUUUCUCCCCAAAAUGUACAACCACAGAGAUAGCUAACCAGAUUGAAAAAAGAUGCUGUUCAUUAGUCAUCUUUGAAUUUCACUUUGGUGUUUCAUUGACCGACCACAUUGCCUGUAGUGCACUUUGAUUUAAUAUUUGAUAUUUUUAUAAACCUUAUCUUGUAAAUAGUACAACUGUGUUAUUUGCCCCCUUUUCUGUUAAAAUCGAUAAUUUUGGAAAUACACACAUGUACUAUAUGCCACAAUUGUAAUCCUGUAAUUCUUUUUUUUUUUUUUGAAUAGUGAUAAUCUCAAAAAAACAGUUGUAGUUCAGGGCUCUCUUGACCUCUGAAACAUCCAGACUAAGAAAAACUGGUCCAAUUAAGACCACUUUUUCCAUCUAGCUAAUGUUUGCAUUCAGGGAGCUCUGAUAUUUUUACUGUUAAGAACCCCUUUUACUGUUUUUCCCACAUACCCCAAGUAUUGUCUACCAAAUUUGAUGCAUUAAGUACUAGUUCAUUUCACAAUUUUAUUAAAUAUGUAUGUAAUUUGUCAAGUUUCUGGUACUCAUCAUGUAGUUUUCACUCAUUCAACAUUUAUUGAACAACCUCUCUGUGCCAGACAUUAUGGGGACAGAAAGAUGAAUAAAACAAAAUUUACAGUCCAGUGAGGGGAGCCAGACAUCUAAACAGAUCAUCAAUAAAAAUAAGUAAUGUGAGAGGCACCUAGAGAGUGUUAGGGACUCAUGAAGAAUGCACCCUAAGGGAGAAAUCAGAGAAAACUUCCUUUUGGAGUUAACGCCAGAAGUGAGUCCCAAAAAUAUGAGUAGAUGUUUGCCAAAAAUUACAUCUUAGUUAGCUUAAUUAAGUGGCCUUAUUUAUAUAUGUGAUUUCCACUAGACUUUAAAAAUUAUUAUUAAAGUAAUUGGAAGCUCCUCUUUUCUUUCCUUGAGAAUCCCAGGAAGGCAGCCAUUGUUUUAAUGGGUGGAUAACGGUAGACGAGAGUGAAUUUUAGAAAAUAGAGAGCUGGGCAAAGAAAAGUGGUUUACCAUAUUCAUCCAACAGGAUGUUCUGCUCAGCCAAGUUUUUUUUUCAGCUGCUUGGCACAUAGAAUCCUGUACAAGUAGAACUUUGGGAUAUCUCAAAUCUCCAGAACCUCUAGAUACGUACAUUUCCUUUUUUCUUUUUCUUUUUUAAACUUUAUAGUCAACAGACAACCUAUCAAUGUUGAUUUAGUUUCCCAAGUAGAUUUUCCUACUGCUAGUGUAUGAGCUGACCUAUGGAUUCUAUAAUUCCGGUUAUAUUAUUCUGUUAUUCCAGUUAAUUUUGCAUUUUCAAUUAUCCACUUCAACUAUCCAAAUAAGCCCUUUCUUUUUAUCAGUGUCUCCUGCAGGUUUGAUUACUACAAGUCAGUGCUCACCCUGCCGUGAACUGGCAAAAUUGAGCCUGUAUAUUUUUAAAUUGAGGACCACGGUGUAGAUAUGGACUGAAAAACUUGUCUUCUUCAUUUUGCUCUUAACUGCAAAGUCUCUACUUCUUACAUCUGAGCAUUGUUGAAUUGAUCUGAUCCAACAUGUGCAUCGUCUGUAUUCUGAUGACUCUCACGUUUAUAUCACUAGCCUGAUCUCUCCUCCCAAUUCCAGACUCAUAUAUCAAAGAAUAGCAUCUCAAAUAGCAGUUGCAAAAAAAAUUAAAAAUAGAAUUACCACAUGAUCCAGCAAUCCCACGUUGAGGUAUAUAUUCAAGAGAGUUGAAAGCAGGAGCCCAGAUAUUUGUACAUUCACGAUCAUAGCAGCAUUACUCACAAUUGUUAAAAGGUGGAAGCAACUCAAAUGUCUAUACGUGGAGGACCGGGUAAAGAAAACGUGGUAUAUACAUACAGCAGGAUAUUAUUCAGCCUUAAAAAGGAAGGAAAUUCUGCCCCAUGCUACAACAUGGAUGAACCUGGAGGAUAUUAUGCUAAGUGAAAUAAGCCAGUCACAAAAAGACAAAUUUUGUAUGAUUUCACUUAUACUUCAUAUGAGUAUGAGCUAACAUCCAUGCCCAUCUUCCUCUACUUUAUACGCGGGAUGCCUACCACAGCAUGGCUUGAUGAGCGGUGCAAUGUCCGCACCUGGGAACCGAACCCGCGGACCCCAGGCCACCAAAGCGGAAUGUGCACACUUAACCGCUGCGCCACCGGGCCGGGGGUUUUUAUUUAAUGGGUAUUGAGUUUUCAUUUUUCAAGAUGAAAAAUUUCUAGAGAUCGGGUGUACAACAAUGUGAAUAUACUUAACACUACUGAACUGUGCCCUUAGAAAUGGUAAAGUUGGUAAGUUUUGUGUGUAUUUUACCACAACUAAUUUUUUUUAAAAAAAAAAGAACACAACUUUUGCUUAAUUUGGCUUUUUCUCUUGGUGCUUGGAAAUGAGCAUUGGUGUUGCUGGUUGUGUAGUAAACAGUUGUGGAUUCACCUCUUAAUGAAUGUUAAAGACUUUGUACGUUAAAAGGUGACCGUGGAAGGGAAAGGAAUUAUACAGCACACUUAUGGUGUUGUUCUACUGAGGGACAGAGUACCUUUCAAACGGAGUAUCUUCCCAGGUUCAUAGCACUGUGUGUCAUACACGCAGCAAACACAAUGAUUGUAGAGGCACAUUUUGGGAAAUGAGCUCAAAGUUAGGAUGGGAUGGGGAUCGUUAAACCUCUCACUGAGACCUUAAUCACUGUGACCCCCUUCUUUUAAUGGCCUAUCCUUCAUCAGGUACUUAAAAUUACUCACGUAGUUUUUGUAGCACAAGAGUAUUUUCAUCGUAGAAUGUGAAAAUACCUUCAACAAUAAUCUAGAGACAGUCCGAAUUCAGUGUCAAGGAAUUUAGUGCCGGCGAUGAGCCUGGUCAUGCUAUCAGGCAGUAGGCCUUCUCUAUAGAUAAACCCACGCCAUGUCUAAAUUCUCAAGCGUUACUUGCUCACUUUCUCUCUCUCCCAUUUGUAUUCUUUGUGCCUAGAAAUGACCAUGACAGAGAGAUGCCCAGAUCACUGACCUUUGCAAACAAAACUUUGGAGCCUAAGAGAACUAUAUUAACCCAGUUCUUACUGAUUUCCUCUUUGAGGGGGAAGUUUGAUUGCUUUCCCACACCAAAGAAGUUUAGAGAAUGUGCCAGUGAAUGGGUGCCUACUCUCACCUGGGUAUGUGUGCGUGUGUUGAUACCCAAGAAGUGAGUUUACUAUUUGGUUGGGCAAAGAAUCAAUGAACACGAUUUGUAUUGAGCCUGUAAUGUGUGUGACUUAUUUUUUAAUUUCAAAAUUAUUAUAUACAAGGAACUGUAAUAUUUGGUAAGAAUUGUGAGAAAAUUUAAACAUGAAUAGACACUAGCAGAGCAGACAGACAC
Molecule: long non-coding RNA, 6379 nt
Filed under: Equus caballus (horse)
Lineage: Eukaryota; Metazoa; Chordata; Mammalia; Perissodactyla; Equidae
Description: lncRNA (ENSECAG00000045650.1)
Source: RNAcentral